AUGAACGUUGUGCUUAUGCUGCGUUGGGUUUGGCGGAUCUUGCGGGGAGAUGGGGGGUUGUGGCUGCAGCUGGUUGAGUCCAAGUGCUUGGAGGGCCAACCCCUCAUGGCUUGCUCACACUCGGCGGGAUCCCAGUUCUGGAAAUCUAUUCUGGCCAUCAAGGAAGAGAUUAGGCUGCGUUUGUGUUUCUCAGUUGGCAAUGGGUCUGGGACCCAAUUUUGGUUGGACCCAUGGCUUGAGGGCGAGCCUCUCCGCUUGCGGUUCCCGAGGCUCUUUGCGAUUUGUGAUGACCCGAUCAUUCUUGUAUCUGCGGCUGCUUUGGAGGAGGGAUGGAACAUUGCGUUCCGCCGCUCAUUCGGACCAGAUGAGAUACGGGGAUGGACAAACCUGAGGGAAGUAGUGCCUCUUCCUCUGUCCCAGGACCCUGACACUGUUUCUUGGAGCCUUUCUCCUUCAGGUGAAUACUCCGUUAGUUCGGCCUAUCAGGCUUUAUGUCGUAUGCCGGUUCUACAGUGGCUAUCCCCAUUGUGGGAGGCACCGUUGCCCUUGAAGAUUAUGAUUUUUGUAUGA
Molecule: ribosomal RNA, 570 nt
Filed under: Triticum aestivum (bread wheat)
Lineage: Eukaryota; Viridiplantae; Streptophyta; Magnoliopsida; Poales; Poaceae
Description: partial small subunit ribosomal RNA
Source: RNAcentral